AACGCACCUUGCGCUCCUUGGUAUUCCGAGGAGCAUGCCUGUUUGAGUGUCAUUAAACUCUCAACCUCUUCAGCUUUUGUUGUUGAGGCUUGGAUGUGGGGGUUUUGCAGGUCUGCCUUAACUGUGCGGUCUGCUCCCCUGAAAUGUAUUAGCGGGUUGGCUUCCGUCUAUUGGUGUGAUAAUUAUCUACGCCGUGGAUGGGUUUGGCUUUCAGACCAGCUUCUAACUGUCCUUUGGACAACUCUUGACAUUUUUGACCUCAAAUCAGGUAGGACUACCCGCUGAACUUAA
This 291-nucleotide unclassified non-coding RNA is filed under the name uncultured Psathyrella. RNAcentral's name for it is "sequence contains ITS2". The stretch from base 1 to 52 matches the Rfam family "5.8S ribosomal RNA", at positions 103 to 154 of the family's 154-position model. Lineage: Eukaryota; Fungi; Basidiomycota; Agaricomycetes; Agaricales; Psathyrellaceae. The record is from RNAcentral.